RNA transcript from Salvia miltiorrhiza (redroot sage), 1223 nucleotides. RefSeq lists it as uncharacterized. The record is from RefSeq and is a predicted model, not a curated record. Lineage: Eukaryota; Viridiplantae; Streptophyta; Magnoliopsida; Lamiales; Lamiaceae. The transcript is spliced from 6 exons.
CACCCUAGUCUUCACUCCAUCUGCAAUUUCACUCCAUCACAAUUUCACUCCUUCUGCAAUUUCGUGAAAUCAAUUUCUGACUACUCAAUUUUAAGAUUUCCCCUUCGCCUCUCUUCCACCGCAUCACCAAAUCUCAAACCCUAGUCGCUGCUUCUGCCGAAAGCUCGCGGCAAUUCGGAGGGGGACGCGCUCCACGCGAACCGCCGCUGCUCGAGUAGCAAGCACCAGCGGUCGGCGCCUCCGUCUCAGUCGCGAAUCGGGCCAGAUUCUGCAGUGAAUCGCGUCCUCCGCCUUCUCCGCAAUUCGGCGCCUCCGCCUAGGCCACGAUUCGCAGCCACCACUAUGUGAAUCGCCCUCCUCUUCUAAGCCUCUGCCGCCACCGCCGCCUCGGUCUAUCUCUCCGCCGUGCUUGAGUACCUCGCCGCUGAGGUGUUGGAGCUUGCUGGAAAUUCUCCUAAAGACAACAAGAAGACAUGAUUGUUCUCCCAAACAUUCACCAGACUCCUAAAGUGAGUUAUGAAAGCAUGCAUGAAUUUUAGGGGAUUUUUGUUGUGAAUUAAAUGGUUUUUCGUUGAUGGAAUUGAGGCAUUCGAAAUCUCACAGAGCAGCGUUUCUAUGUGCCAUUUUGGUCAACCCACUUGAUAUGGCUAAGACAAGAUUACAGGCACAAGCAGCUGGAGUCCCCUACUCGGCUACUCCUAUCCAUUAAAUAAAAAAAAAAUGUUGCGCUAGUUCAUGGGAUUUCCAUGGGUGAAGGUGCAUCCUUAAUGGUCCCAAUGAAGUUCUCUGUUGUCACAGAGAAAAGUGUUUUGCAACUCCGGAGGCAAGCAAUAUUGGCUUUCAUACUGAUUGUGAUUUUCAUACAUGCUAUCUCACCUUUCUUUGUGGAUUGAGCUGUACAUCUUGUAUUCUUGCAUCAUCUAACAUAACAUACUUGUGGGAUUCAGAAAGACCUCAACACCAAGAUUGAGAAGUCGAGGAAGCAGAUAAAAGAAUGCAAAAACAGAGCAAAGAAAAUAUGUGGUGUUAAGAAGAUGGAAGUUUGGAUGGAUGGAUUGCUUUUGACUUAAAGCUACUUCAGAGUAUCAUUUUUCGUUGAAAAUUGUAAAUGACUACUCUAGCUACUUAGAUACAUUACUUUUGUUAGUAAAGUAUUGGAUGGUUAAGUUAUUUGGAUAUAUUUGCAUUUUUUAUUAUGGAUGGAUGGAGUUAUUGGGAUGGUA